AUUAGGGUUCUAAAGGUCUGGUUAAUGCUUUGAUGACACCACGCAGAUGCCAAAUUUUUCCUCAAGUAAACAUGAGGAACAUCAGGACAUCCAAAGUGUCACAUUAACCGUAGCCAUCAUUUUAACCAUUCCAGUAUACGCCGGAUAGUCGCGAUGAUCUCUUGCUACUUACCUAAGGUACACUAGAUCCAGGUGUAGGAUCUUUCACUCAAGCAUAAAAUACCCAAGCAAUCCCUUAAAAGUAAAUCAGACAAUUC
RNAcentral lists this long non-coding RNA (257 nucleotides) under Lathyrus oleraceus (garden pea). RNAcentral's name for it is "Pisum sativum (pea) long non-coding RNA (PSAT_LNC025549)". Lineage: Eukaryota; Viridiplantae; Streptophyta; Magnoliopsida; Fabales; Fabaceae. The record is from RNAcentral.